AUGUCCUUUCUCUGUCCUCCUGGCCAGCAACUGUGUGGAAGUAAAGACACUGGAGAGGAGGGGUCUGGGCUAGGAAGGGCAUACCCUAACCCCCAUGUAUUGGCUUCUUUCUCAGUUCAGGGGCUGGAAUGCUACCAGUGUUUUGAUGUCCCACUCGAGACUUCCUGCAAUACAACUACCUGCCUGAAUGGAUGACUCUCAGAGAAAAAAAGCAAAGAACAGUUAUUGCUUUUCCAUCUGCCCUACUAAUAAAUAUUUCACGAUCCUGGAUGCUACUGUCA
RNAcentral lists this long non-coding RNA (281 nucleotides) under Mus spicilegus (steppe mouse). Its description in RNAcentral is "lncRNA (ENSMSIG00000021073.1)". The record is from RNAcentral. Lineage: Eukaryota; Metazoa; Chordata; Mammalia; Rodentia; Muridae.